Molecule: long non-coding RNA, 673 nt
Organism: Quercus robur (English oak)
Lineage: Eukaryota; Viridiplantae; Streptophyta; Magnoliopsida; Fagales; Fagaceae
Exons: 2
Source: RefSeq, a predicted model, not a curated record
AUGCUGCAUACAAGGCAAGGUGUCAAUUCGUGAGAGUGACAAGUGUCCUAGGUCAUGUGCAAUGCACAUGACCAGGUAACUCAAAUUUGAUGACUAACGGUGUUAGAAUUUUGCUUCAGAACCGUUUGCUCUCUCUCUCUAAAUCUCUAUCUUCGUCCAAGAUCUCUCUCUCAUCCUCCGUGCUCAGCCUAGCCACAUCCACUCAUUCCCUCUCCACCGGCCUCACUCCGCCGCGUUUCCACCUUUGUUUGCCACCGCGUCUCCAAGAACCACCGCUUCAGCACCUUCUUUCGCAGAAAUCUCUUUGGUGAAGACGUAUACGACAACUCAGAAUUUUUCAAGAAUGCAGUAGAGGAGACCAUCAUUCUUUAGAGGUUGGGCAGGAUUAAGUCACAUUUGUCUGUAAAGAAAUUGGCGUUGAAACCCUUUCUUUACCUUUCUUCAUUGUGGUGAUCUUAUUGUUUGAAGGUUAUAAAGGGAUCUAUCGUUCAAUUUUAGUUAAGUUUCCUUUCUAGUUUAAUUUAGGUAAUAAGGCGAAAGACUUGGCAGAGUAUGUAUUGUAUUGUUGUAUUGUUCAAUUUUGUCGCAUGAGUGUUCUUGUUCAUUUAUUAAAAAAUCUUUAUAUACCGUACAAACCAAGAGAUGGAAUAAAAUAUAAUUAUUCUUUUCUAAA